This is a long non-coding RNA of Gallus gallus (chicken), 1566 nucleotides long. The record is from Ensembl. Lineage: Eukaryota; Metazoa; Chordata; Aves; Galliformes; Phasianidae.
AUGUAUAUAUAUAUAUAUAUAUAUAUAUGGCUAUCAGUGUUUAAAGCUGUUAAACUCAAAUUUACAAAAGCAAGAGGGUUUGCCGCAGUGUCCUAGACACCAUCCAGCUUUGGUAAUUACAUCUUCCCUAACUAAAACCUUCUUGCAGGUUCAUAACGUUCUUCCUGUCCUGCUGAAAUAUUUUGCAGAGAGCUGCUGUGACGUGAUGUGUUAAAUGUCUGCCACAAUUUUGCCCAGAAGUCAAUCACAGAUGAAGUGAUUUAUGAUACAUGGCACGCAUACACACAGAUUUUUAUUACAAUGACUUCUACUGACCUGUAAGAGUUACUUAGGAGAAGCACUUCUGAAGAAAUCAGCUCAGUAACUAAAUAUGGCUUCAUUCGAGGCCUCUAUUUCAGAUUAUUUUUUCCAAUCCCACCCCAUCUCUUAUAAGGAGGCACUGAGAAAUGGCAGAUGCAUGUCAUCAGCUGUGUUUAUAGGACAAUAACCUUUACUCUGUCCGUUAAUCCCCUCCAUAAAUACAAUGUACAUUCCAGAGUGCUGUGCUGCCCCUAUCAUCAGCGGAUAAAAACAACACGUGUGCACCUGCUAAAUAAAUAUUUUCCCUGACCUCGUACAAACGUGACAUUUCUUCCUUGCAAUUAUGCUGGCAAGAGGUCAAAGAGUACCAAAAAGUUCAUCCUACAAUGCUGAUGGCCAAGAUAAACUCACAAGGAGAGAGGAGCACCCUGCACAAGUGUUUUUCCACACUAGCUGAGGACAUCUAGUGGUCCAUAAAGCUUCAGACAAUCAUCCGCAUACCAGUUAUAAGCAUUAUUAAAAAUAACAAGCCCUACAUAUUCUCACACCAUAGCAGUAAGGAGACAAAAUGGAGAAAAUAAGAAUGUAUGGAAGUGUCUGGUGUUUAGCUGUUGUAAAUGAAACUACUGUGGCAGCAGCAAUAUAAUCGGUCUGAGGUUCUUUUUCCUAAAAAAGUGAGGUGGUCCUUGGCUUAAAGAAAGUGAAGAAACACUCUCAUGAGCCCACUGAAAAAGAGAAACUCAUAGGAUCUGGGUGAUGCGUAGCACUUGUUUCUGGUUUUAAUGAGCCAGACAAUUUUACACUUCAAAAUUAUAACAUUAUACUGAGCAGAAAACUUUACUGUGGGUAUGUUUAAAUCCCUGUCUCAGAUAUGUCCUUGGAGCUAGAGAUGGGCCAGGAUGUAUGUGAUGAAUGAAGUCUCUUUAAAACUCUGUGAUAUAGAAAUUAAAGUUGUUAUUAUUUUGAAUCAUCUGCAUCCUAUAUUUGUUUACAUGGACUAAUUAGAAACCAUGUACCCCUGUUCUUUCUAAUAUGUGUAACUCUGUGCAUGUGUGUGUCUGUUUUCACAGAAAAAGUACACCCAAAUGCAUGUUAAUAAAAUUUUCUUACCCAGGAAUGGCCAAUCUUUCUGAUUUUACAAGCCACGUGUGAAUUCUUCAUGCAGCCAGGAGCCACAAGACACAUAAUCUGCAUCUUCCAGACUAUCCCAAAUAAUAGAAUCAAUCAUAGAAUCACGGAAUGGCUCAGUUUGGAAGGGAUCUUAAA